GUCCACACAGUAAACUAUGGAUACUCGCUGCCGGCGAUACACGGUCGGUGGCCUAGCGAAAGCGUUAAGUAUCCCACCUGGGGAGUACGCCGGCAACGGUGAACUCAAAGGAAUUGACGGGGCCCGCACAAGCGGAGGAACAUGUGGUUUAAUUCGAUGAUACGCGAGGAACCUUACCCAGGCUCGAAACGGCAAGUUGGAGGUCGGUGGAGACACCUUCCGUCUUCGGACAAUUUGUCGAGGUGCUGCAUGGUUGUCGU
This 260-nucleotide ribosomal RNA is filed under the name uncultured bacterium. RNAcentral's name for it is "partial 16S ribosomal RNA". It matches the Rfam family "Bacterial small subunit ribosomal RNA", at positions 793 to 1055 of the family's 1533-position model. The record is from RNAcentral.